GGCAUCAUGGGAAUUGUAGUUGUUUAAGUAAGCGGGGUGGCGCAUGCGCACUGCAACCUUACGCUGAGUGGGAGCAGCUUGGCUUCGAGACCAUGAGGGCGAAGUGGAGGAAGAAACGGAUGCGCAGAUUGAAGCGCAAGCGGAGGAAGAUGAGGGCAAGGUCCAAGUGAAGCCCCCAGCUGGAGAACAGCAAUACAUGGUGACUGGCAGCUGUGUUGAAGUUUUGGCUUUGUCAGUAGUCAGUGAAUGAUUUUCAAGCUUUCAUGUUUCAUGGGAUACCUGUUUGUUUUAUCAGUUAUGAAACUUUGUUUUGGAAUGUGUUUUAUGCAGUUUUUGAUGUUAUAAAAUAAAACUAACAUUGUUUUGAAAACUUUUUAAAAAAUCUAGUUGAGUGCAUUUGAAAGCCAAGCAAGAGUAAAGUGAGUAUUUUAAUAUGACAAAUUUAUUUUCCUCAUUAGUUGUUCUAAACUUAACUUUCUGUUACCAUUUUAGUCUCUAAACAAAAUAGUGAAGUUAUUGUUUCUAAACCAGAUGGAAUGUUUGCUGAACUUGUAUCAUUUGACACCCUGAUUAUUGGCGACAACUUACAUGUGACAGCACAAUGCCACGUUGCACAGUCCGUCGAUUCCAGCCCAUCGAGCAUAAAUCUCACUCAGCUGUGGACGAUUAAGUGCAAUAUAUUUUUAUAGUUUCUUGCCCUUUGCCAAGGGUAUUGUUACACCAAAUUAAAGCAGAAAAUGAUGGAAAUACUGAGCAAGUCAGGCAGUGGAGAGAGAAACACAGUUAACAUUUCAGGUCUGUUUCUUUUAUCAGAACAGCCAAGUGGUUAUGGUACUGGGCUUGUAACCCCAAGAUCAAGAGUUCAAAUCUCACCAUGGCAAAUUAUGAAACAAUGUAAUUUCAUCUGGGCAGGGAAAAGAUCCAGAACUGGAACAAUGCUGUUACACUCAUAGACGCUGCCAGUCCUGCUGAGUAUUUGCAGCAUUUUCUCUUUAUUUCGGAUUUCCAGCAUCUGCAGUAUUUUGCUUUUGUAUUAUUGUUACAUCUUAUGUGCAAGGCUAAAAGAUGGGAAACUUGCAUUAUACACCAAAAGGGUGAGAAUGAUACAGCACAAAGAGGCCAUUCAGCCCAUUGUGUGUUUUGCUGGUUCUUUGAAAGAGCUGUCUACUUCUUUCUCUUUUCCUUGAAGCCUUACAAUUUUUUCUUUUUUACAUGUUCAGUUCCCUAUUGAAUGUUUUGUCAUUAUGGAUGAGGGAGGUUCCAUGCUGCAGUGUUUACUAAUUUCCUGAAUCAUUCCUGUCCUAUAAUUUAUAACUGAAAAAUUUGAGCUAAUUUGCAUUAUAAAUUCCUUUUCCAUAUUUAUAAUGGAUAUGGCCUCUGUAAACUUAUCUUGCUGAAGCUCUGAGGCAGGAGGGUGUAAUUAAUGUGACAAGUUUACUUGGGCAAUUAUACAAUCUAAAUAUGGGUGUCGGGAUUUGAAAGUAUUAAAAUGACAAUAUAUGGCAACAAAAUAGAGAUUGAAUUAUAUUGCUAUCAGUACCAGCACACUACUUGCACAUAUAAAAGACUGUUCUGACUAAAUAGUCUUGUUAUGACAGAUUCAUUCCUACUUUUCAUAUUUGUAGCUAUAAACUAUUAUCAUACAUAUUUUUUUGAAUAUUGCUGAAAAGAGAUAUGUUGCCAAAGCUUUUUGCUUUGCGCUCAUUAGGCCAAAUAUUUCAAACUAUAGCAACAAUUUAUACAGGAGAAAAAGGUGCUGAUUGAUUGGCAAGUUGACACCAUUGACUGAGGUUUUUGCAUGGAGAAAGCAAUGGGGGAACUAUCGGCUGUCCAAGCAACCUGGCAAUUCAAAAAAGGCUGAAGACUUGAACCGUGGAACAUUUCCUUCUGUGCAUUCCUAUCACCAAAUCUUUUUUUUUAAUCUCCCUCCUUCCUUACUUUCAGUAUCAUGACAUUGCUUCAUAUUCAGUGAUGAUACAUUUUUGUUGCCUUUACGUUGCUACUAUUAGCUUUGCAAGAGGAUGUUUUCAGAACAGUUGGACUUUGCAAUAAAACAUCUUAAAUGAUUGCA
Molecule: long non-coding RNA, 2071 nt
Organism: Carcharodon carcharias (great white shark)
Lineage: Eukaryota; Metazoa; Chordata; Chondrichthyes; Lamniformes; Lamnidae
Exons: 3
Source: RefSeq, a predicted model, not a curated record